RNAcentral lists this long non-coding RNA (293 nucleotides) under Pan troglodytes (chimpanzee). RNAcentral describes it as "lncRNA (ENSPTRG00000054656.1)". The record is from RNAcentral. Lineage: Eukaryota; Metazoa; Chordata; Mammalia; Primates; Hominidae.
AAGACAACAAAACUCUUUUGCCCAAGGAGAAAUGGAGGAAGAGAAAACAUCCCGUCAUCUCUGUACUUGUGAUGCCUGAGAAGGAGCAAGUAUUUCACGAAUGUUUGUGGAGUAAAGAAAAAUUAUCAAGUCCUUUGAGAAAUGACUGCAGGAGAGGUAGGAGCAAUCGUUACUUUCUCCUGGGAGCCUGGAAGCUGCCUUGCCCCCACACUUCCCCUGUGUACUCCUCUUCACUUCUCACUGUGAAAAGGCAAAAUAAAAUGGAGAAGGAAAAGUGGAUGAGUGGAAGGUAA